Molecule: ribosomal RNA, 225 nt
Filed under: uncultured bacterium
Lineage: Bacteria
Description: partial 16S ribosomal RNA
Rfam family: Bacterial small subunit ribosomal RNA
Source: RNAcentral
UAGGCGCACGGGUGAGUAACACGUGACUAACCUACCCUCGAGUGGGGAAUAACCUAGAGAAAUCUGGGCUAAUACCGCAUAACACUUACGAGUCAAAGCAGCAAUGCGCUUGGAGAGGAGUUCGCGGCAGAUUAGUUAGUUGGCGGGGUAAUGGCCCACCAAGACGAUGAUCUGUAUCCGGCCUGAGAGGGCGCACGGACACACUGGAACUGAAACACGGUCCAG